GCCCGCCUAGCUCAAUCGGAUAGAGCGUCAGACUCUUAUCCAUGACCAGCUUGGUUUGGGACAAUCUGAAGGCUGCGAGUUCGACCCUCGCGGUGGGCU
Molecule: non-coding RNA, 99 nt
Organism: Polyporus arcularius HHB13444
Lineage: Eukaryota; Fungi; Basidiomycota; Agaricomycetes; Polyporales; Polyporaceae
Source: the annotation of a GenBank genome assembly